RNAcentral lists this ribosomal RNA (1550 nucleotides) under Klebsiella pneumoniae. Its description in RNAcentral is "bacterial SSU rRNA". It matches the Rfam family "Bacterial small subunit ribosomal RNA". Lineage: Bacteria; Pseudomonadati; Pseudomonadota; Gammaproteobacteria; Enterobacterales; Enterobacteriaceae. The record is from RNAcentral.
AAAUUGAAGAGUUUGAUCAUGGCUCAGAUUGAACGCUGGCGGCAGGCCUAACACAUGCAAGUCGAGCGGUAGCACAGAGAGCUUGCUCUCGGGUGACGAGCGGCGGACGGGUGAGUAAUGUCUGGGAAACUGCCUGAUGGAGGGGGAUAACUACUGGAAACGGUAGCUAAUACCGCAUAACGUCGCAAGACCAAAGUGGGGGACCUUCGGGCCUCAUGCCAUCAGAUGUGCCCAGAUGGGAUUAGCUAGUAGGUGGGGUAACGGCUCACCUAGGCGACGAUCCCUAGCUGGUCUGAGAGGAUGACCAGCCACACUGGAACUGAGACACGGUCCAGACUCCUACGGGAGGCAGCAGUGGGGAAUAUUGCACAAUGGGCGCAAGCCUGAUGCAGCCAUGCCGCGUGUGUGAAGAAGGCCUUCGGGUUGUAAAGCACUUUCAGCGGGGAGGAAGGCGAUAAGGUUAAUAACCUUGUCGAUUGACGUUACCCGCAGAAGAAGCACCGGCUAACUCCGUGCCAGCAGCCGCGGUAAUACGGAGGGUGCAAGCGUUAAUCGGAAUUACUGGGCGUAAAGCGCACGCAGGCGGUCUGUCAAGUCGGAUGUGAAAUCCCCGGGCUUAACCUGGGAACUGCAUUCGAAACUGGCAGGCUAGAGUCUUGUAGAGGGGGGUAGAAUUCCAGGUGUAGCGGUGAAAUGCGUAGAGAUCUGGAGGAAUACCGGUGGCGAAGGCGGCCCCCUGGACAAAGACUGACGCUCAGGUGCGAAAGCGUGGGGAGCAAACAGGAUUAGAUACCCUGGUAGUCCACGCCGUAAACGAUGUCGAUUUGGAGGUUGUGCCCUUGAGGCGUGGCUUCCGGAGCUAACGCGUUAAAUCGACCGCAUGGGGAGUACGGCCGCAAGGUUAAAACUCAAAUGAAUUGACGGGGGCCCGCACAAGCGGUGGAGCAUGUGGUUUAAUUCGAUGCAACGCGAAGAACCUUACCUGGUCUUGACAUCCACAGAACUUUCCAGAGAUGGAUUGGUGCCUUCGGGAACUGUGAGACAGGUGCUGCAUGGCUGUCGUCAGCUCGUGUUGUGAAAUGUUGGGUUAAGUCCCGCAACGAGCGCAACCCUUAUCCUUUGUUGCCAGCGGUUCGGCCGGGAACUCAAAGGAGACUGCCAGUGAUAAACUGGAGGAAGGUGGGGAUGACGUCAAGUCAUCAUGGCCCUUACGACCAGGGCUACACACGUGCUACAAUGGCAUAUACAAAGAGAAGCGACCUCGCGAGAGCAAGCGGACCUCAUAAAGUAUGUCGUAGUCCGGAUUGGAGUCUGCAACUCGACUCCAUGAAGUCGGAAUCGCUAGUAAUCGUAGAUCAGAAUGCUACGGUGAAUACGUUCCCGGGCCUUGUACACACCGCCCGUCACACCAUGGGAGUGGGUUGCAAAAGAAGUAGGUAGCUUAACCUUCGGGAGGGCGCUUACCACUUUGUGAUUCAUGACUGGGGUGAAGUCGUAACAAGGUAACCGUAGGGGAACCUGCGGUUGGAUCACCUCCUUACCUUAAAGAA